GGGGUUGUGGCUCAGUGGUAGAGCACUUACCUGGCAUGUGUGAGGCACUUGGUUCAAAUCCUCAGCACCA
RNAcentral lists this transfer RNA (70 nucleotides) under Marmota marmota marmota (Alpine marmot). It matches the Rfam family "tRNA". Rfam says of the family: Transfer RNA (tRNA) molecules are approximately 80 nucleotides in length. Their secondary structure includes four short double-helical elements and three loops (D, anti-codon, and T loops). RNAcentral also lists the same sequence under 2 other names. The record is from Rfam by way of RNAcentral. Lineage: Eukaryota; Metazoa; Chordata; Mammalia; Rodentia; Sciuridae.